Molecule: non-coding RNA, 28 nt
Filed under: Mus musculus (house mouse)
Lineage: Eukaryota; Metazoa; Chordata; Mammalia; Rodentia; Muridae
Source: RNAcentral
CAGAAAGGUGACCUUAGAUACAAAAUGG